GGAUAUAGCUCAGUGAUAGAGCAUGUGCCUAGCAUGCACGAGGUCCUGGGUUCAAUCCCCAGUACUUCCA
RNAcentral lists this transfer RNA (70 nucleotides) under Camelus bactrianus (Bactrian camel). It matches the Rfam family "tRNA". Rfam says of the family: Transfer RNA (tRNA) molecules are approximately 80 nucleotides in length. Their secondary structure includes four short double-helical elements and three loops (D, anti-codon, and T loops). RNAcentral also lists the same sequence under 2 other names. The record is from Rfam by way of RNAcentral. Lineage: Eukaryota; Metazoa; Chordata; Mammalia; Artiodactyla; Camelidae.